UUAAUUAAAGCCAAAAUAGAGGCAUAUUAUUGUUAAUAAUACUAAUGAAAAUUAUAUUUCUAAUUAAA
RNAcentral lists this transfer RNA (68 nucleotides) under Lepidopsocidae sp. RS-2001. RNAcentral's name for it is "tRNA-Asn". The record is from RNAcentral. Lineage: Eukaryota; Metazoa; Arthropoda; Insecta; Psocodea; Lepidopsocidae.